RNAcentral lists this ribosomal RNA (468 nucleotides) under uncultured bacterium. Its description in RNAcentral is "partial 16S ribosomal RNA". It matches the Rfam family "Bacterial small subunit ribosomal RNA", at positions 28 to 507 of the family's 1533-position model. The record is from RNAcentral.
GACGAACGCUGGCGGCGUGCUUAACACAUGCAAGUCGAACGGAAAGGCCCUGCUUUUGUGGGGUGCUCGAGUGGCGAACGGGUGAGUAACACGUGAGUAACCUGCCCUUGACUUUGGGAUAACUUCAGGAAACUGGGGCUAAUACCGGAUAGGAGCUCCUGCUGCAUGGUGGGGGUUGGAAAGUUUCGGCGGUUGGGGAUGGACUCGCGGCUUAUCAGCUUGUUGGUGGGGUAGUGGCUUACCAAGGCUUUGACGGGUAGCCGGCCUGAGAGGGUGACCGGCCACAUUGGGACUGAGAUACGGCCCAGACUGCUACGGGAGGCAGCAGUGGGGAAUAUUGCACAAUGGGCGGAAGCCUGAUGCAGCAACGCCGCGUGCGGGAUGACGGCCGUCGGGUUGUAAACCGCUUUCGCCUGUGACGAAGCGUGAGUGACGGUAAUGGGUAAAGAAGCACCGGCUAACUACGUG